RNAcentral lists this ribosomal RNA (497 nucleotides) under uncultured bacterium. RNAcentral's name for it is "partial 16S ribosomal RNA". It matches the Rfam family "Bacterial small subunit ribosomal RNA", at positions 28 to 507 of the family's 1533-position model. The record is from RNAcentral.
GAUGAACGCUGGCGGCGUGCCUAAUACAUGCAAGUAGAACGCUGAAGGAAGGAGCUUGCUCUUUCCGGAUGAGUUGCGAACGGGUGAGUAACGCGUAGGUAACCUGCCUGGUAGCGGGGGAUAACUAUUGGAAACGAUAGCUAAUACCGCAUAACAGUAGAUGUUGCAUGACAACUAUUUGAAAGGGGCAAUUGCUCCACUACCAGAUGGACCUGCGUUGUAUUAGCUAGUUGGUGAGGUAACGGCUCACCAAGGCGACGAUACAUAGCCGACCUGAGAGGGUGAUCGGCCACACUGGGACUGAGACACGGCCCAGACUCCUACGGGAGGCAGCAGUAGGGAAUCUUCGGCAAUGGGCGGAAGUCUGACCGAGCAACGCCGCGUGAGUGAAGAAGGUUUUCGGAUCGUAAAGCUCUGUUGUAAGAGAAGAACGAGUGUGAGAGUGGAAAGUUCACACUGUGACGGUAUCUUACCAGAAAGGGACGGCUAACUACGUG